CAGUCGCCGCGGUAAAACGUAGGGUGCAAGCGUUAAUCGGAAUUACUGGGCGUAAAGCGUGCGCAGGCGGUUCGCUAAGACAGAUGUGAAAUCCCCGGGCUUAACCUGGGAACUGCAUUUGUGACUGGCGGGCUAGAGUAUGGCAGAGGGGGGUAGAAUUCCACGUGUAGCAGUGAAAUGCGUAGAGAUGUGGAGGAAUACCGAUGGCGAAGGCAGCCCCCUGGGCCAAUACUGACGCUCAUGCACGAAAGCGUGGGGAGCAAACAGGAUUAGAUACCCCCGUAGUCCCUGUCUCUUAUAC
Molecule: ribosomal RNA, 301 nt
Filed under: uncultured bacterium
Lineage: Bacteria
Description: partial 16S ribosomal RNA
Rfam family: Bacterial small subunit ribosomal RNA
Source: RNAcentral